RNAcentral lists this ribosomal RNA (468 nucleotides) under uncultured bacterium. RNAcentral's name for it is "partial 16S ribosomal RNA". It matches the Rfam family "Bacterial small subunit ribosomal RNA", at positions 28 to 507 of the family's 1533-position model. The record is from RNAcentral.
GACGAACGCUGGCGGCGUGCUUAACACAUGCAAGUCGAACGGAGAGGCCCUGCGUUUGUGUGGUGCUCGAGUGGGGAGCGGGUGAGUAACACGUGAGUAACCUGCCCUCGACUUUGGUAUAACUUCAGGCAACUGGGGCUAAUACCGGAUAGGUGCUCCUGCUGCGUGGUGGGGGUUGGAUAGUUUCGGUGGUUGGGGAUGGACUCGCGGCUGAUGAGCUUGUUGGUGGGGUAGUGGCUUACCAAGGGUUUGACGGGUAGCCGGCCUGAGAGGGGGACCGGCCACAUUGGGACUGAGAUACGGCCCAGAGUCCUACGGGAGGCAGCAGUGGGGAAUAUUGCACAAUGGGCGGAAGCCUGAUGCAGCAACGCCGCGUGCGGGAUGACGGCCUUCGGGUUGUAAACCGCUUUCGCCUGUGACGAAGCGUGAGUGACGGUAAUGGGUAAAGAAGCACCGGCUAACUACGUG